RNAcentral lists this ribosomal RNA (231 nucleotides) under uncultured bacterium. RNAcentral's name for it is "partial 16S ribosomal RNA". It matches the Rfam family "Bacterial small subunit ribosomal RNA", at positions 15 to 225 of the family's 1533-position model. The record is from RNAcentral.
GAUCAUGGCUCAGGAUGAACGCUGGCGGCGUGCCUAACACAUGCAAGUCGAACGGAGUUCUUAAGGAAUGCGACUUCGGUCAAAUGACUUUUGAACUUAGUGGCGGACGGGUGAGUAACGCGUGAGCAACCUGCCUUUCAGAGGGGGAUAACAUUUGGAAACAGAUGCUAAUACCGCAUAAGAUUACAGUACCGCAUGAUACAGUGAUCAAAGGAGCAAUCCGCUGAAAGA